UUAGAGUUAGUUAGAAAGCAA
Caenorhabditis elegans is the source of this 21-nucleotide non-coding RNA. The record is from Ensembl. Lineage: Eukaryota; Metazoa; Nematoda; Chromadorea; Rhabditida; Rhabditidae.